GCUGGGCACAGUGGCACAUGCCUGUAGUCCCAGCAGCUGGGAAGCUGAGGCAGGAGGAUCCUGAAUUCAAAGCCAGCAACUUAGCAAGGCCCUAAGCAACUCAUGAAGAUCCUGUUUCUA
This 120-nucleotide small RNA is filed under the name Marmota monax (woodchuck). The record is from RNAcentral. Lineage: Eukaryota; Metazoa; Chordata; Mammalia; Rodentia; Sciuridae.